This 495-nucleotide ribosomal RNA is filed under the name Bacillus pumilus. RNAcentral's name for it is "bacterial SSU rRNA". It matches the Rfam family "Bacterial small subunit ribosomal RNA", at positions 192 to 674 of the family's 1533-position model. The record is from RNAcentral. Lineage: Bacteria; Bacillati; Bacillota; Bacilli; Caryophanales; Bacillaceae.
GUUCAAGGAUGAAAGACGGUUUCGGCUGUCACUUACAGAUGGACCCGCGGCGCAUUAGCUAGUUGGUGGGGUAAUGGCUCACCAAGGCGACGAUGCGUAGCCGACCUGAGAGGGUGAUCGGCCACACUGGGACUGAGACACGGCCCAGACUCCUACGGGAGGCAGCAGUAGGGAAUCUUCCGCAAUGGACGAAAGUCUGACGGAGCAACGCCGCGUGAGUGAUGAAGGUUUUCGGAUCGUAAAGCUCUGUUGUUAGGGAAGAACAAGUGCGAGAGUAACUGCUCGCACCUUGACGGUACCUAACCAGAAAGCCACGGCUAACUACGUGCCAGCAGCCGCGGUAAUACGUAGGUGGCAAGCGUUGUCCGGAAUUAUUGGGCGUAAAGGGCUCGCAGGCGGUUUCUUAAGUCUGAUGUGAAAGCCCCCGGCUCAACCGGGGAGGGUCAUUGGAAACUGGGAAACUUGAGUGCAGAAGAGGAGAGUGGAAUUCCACGU